CCUACGGGUGGCAGCAGUGGGGAAUAUUGGUCAAUGGGCGCAAGCCUGACCCAGCAACGCCGCGUGAAGGAAGAAGGCUUUCGGUUUGUAAACUUCUUUUAUUGAGGACGAAACAAAUGACGGUACUCUAUGAAUAAGCCACGGCUAACUACGUGCCAGCAGCCGCGGUAAUACGUAGGUGGCAAGCGUUAUCCGGAUUUACUGGGUGUAAAGGGCGUGUAGGCGGGACUGCAAGUCAGAUGUGAAACCCAUGGGCUCAACCCAUGGCCUGCAUUUGAAACUGUAGGUCUUGAGUGCUGGAGAGGCAGGCGGAAUUCCGUGUGUAGCGGUGAAAUGCGUAGAUAUACGGAGGAACACCAGUGGCGAAGGCGGCCUGCUGGACAUUAACUGACGCUGAGGCGCGAAAGCGUGGGGAGCAAACAGGAUUAGAUACCCCUGUAGUC
RNAcentral lists this ribosomal RNA (443 nucleotides) under uncultured bacterium. RNAcentral describes it as "partial 16S ribosomal RNA". It matches the Rfam family "Bacterial small subunit ribosomal RNA", at positions 338 to 795 of the family's 1533-position model. The record is from RNAcentral.